UUCCAUGUAGUUUAAUAAGAACAGAAUUUUGAAGAAGUUAAAGUGGUUUAAAACUUUUGGGAA
RNAcentral lists this transfer RNA (63 nucleotides) under Cacopsylla jukyungi. RNAcentral's name for it is "tRNA-Phe". Lineage: Eukaryota; Metazoa; Arthropoda; Insecta; Hemiptera; Psyllidae. The record is from RNAcentral.